GGUUGGGGAGGUGGGGGGAAGCGAAGCCCUAAGAUGGGCGGAGAGAAGCAGAUGUGGAGGUGAUGGCGAAGACCCAGAUAUAAGCAGUUGGUGAGUUCCAUGAGGAGACUGCAACUUCUCCACCCUGUGCCCCUCCAGAUCCCUCAUGCUGCUCUGUGUCCUCCAGGGUUGGCCUGUCCAAGUUCAACAGUGGGCUUCCACACCCUCCCACUUCCAGCUGGGUUGGCCAAGGCUAGGUGCCUCCAAUUCCUGGCUUUCCCAGAAGGAAGAGCCCAGUGGAGCCAGCCGUGUCAUGACUCCUGUCGGACCGUGUUACAGACCAUGAUCACCGACCAGUUCUUUAUCCAUGGAUGAGCGGUCACCUUUUAUCUUGUCAGCCAGGAGGGGUAUGGAGGGCUGUCUCCAUUUGACAAACGUUUAUUUUUAUUUCAUUUCAUUUUAUUUUUUUGAGAUGGAGUUUCACUCUUGUUGCCCAGGCUGGAGUGCAA
RNAcentral lists this long non-coding RNA (488 nucleotides) under Homo sapiens (human). Its description in RNAcentral is "HSALNT0388033". The record is from RNAcentral. Lineage: Eukaryota; Metazoa; Chordata; Mammalia; Primates; Hominidae.